This is a ribosomal RNA of 1931 nucleotides. It matches the Rfam family "Bacterial large subunit ribosomal RNA", at positions 1 to 1946 of the family's 2925-position model.
GGUCAAGCUACUAAGGGCGUACGGUGGAUGCCUAGGCGCUAAGAGUCGAAGAAGGGCGCGGUUAACAGCGAAAUGCCACGGGGAGUCGUAAGCAGGCUUUGAUCCGUGGAUACCCGAAUGGGGCAACCCAACCGGAGUUAUGUCCGGUUAUCUUUAGCUGAAUACAUAGGUUAAAGAAGACAACCCGGAGAACUGAAACAUCUAAGUAUCCGGAGGAAGAGAAAGAAUCAUCGAUUCCCUGAGUAGCGGCGAGCGAAACGGGAAGAGCCCAAACCAAGCUCUUCGGAGCUUGGGGUUGUAGGACCCUCUGUUAAGAAUGGAUCUUUAGUGGAAGAAGGCUGGAAAGCCUCGGCAAAGAAGGUAACACCCCUGUAAGCGAAAAAGAGACAUUCUGUGAGGGAAUCCUGAGUACCGCGGGACACGAGAAACCCCGUGGGAAGCAGGGAGGACCACCUCCCAAGGCUAAAUACUCCUUAGCGACCGAUAGUGAACCAGUACCGUGAGGGAAAGGUGAAAAGCACCUCGGAAGAGGAGUGAAAAAGAACCUGAAACCGUACGCUUACAAGCAGUCACAGCACGUUGGUGUGGUGGCGUGCCUUUUGUAGAAUGAACCGGCGAGUUACGGUAUGCAGCGAGGUUAAGGCGGAGAGCCGGAGCCGAAGCGAAAGCGAGUCUGAAAUGGGCGACGAGUUGCAUGCUGUAGACCCGAAACCGUGUGAUCUACCCAUGGCCAGGGUGAAGGUGGGGUAAAACCCACUGGAGGCCCGAACUCACUGUCGUUGAAAAGGCAGGGGAUGAGCUGUGGGUAGGGGUGAAAUGCCAAUCGAACACGGAGAUAGCUGGUUCUCCCCGAAAUAGCUUUAGGGCUAGCCUCAAUGAAGGAAUCAUGGCGGUAGAGCACUGAAUAGGCUAGGGGCCUUACCAGGUUACCGAACCUUAUCAAACUCCGAAUGCCAGGAUAUUACCAUUGGGAGUCAGACUGUGGGGGAUAAGCUUCAUAGUCAAAAGGGAAACAGCCCAGACCAUCAGCUAAGGUCCCAAAGUAUACACUAAGUGGGAAAGGAUGUGGAAUUGCUCAGACAACCAGGAUGUUGGCUUAGAAGCAGCCACCAUUUAAAGAGUGCGUAAUAGCUCACUGGUCGAGUGGUUCUGCGCCGAAAAUGUAACGGGGCUCAAGUGUAUCACCGAAGCUAUGGCUUUACAGGAAACUGUAAGGGGUAGGGGAGCGUUCUGUCAGCAGAGAAGUCAAGCCGUAAGGUUUGGUGGAGUGGAUAGAAGUGAGAAUGCCGGUAUGAGUAUGCGAAAAGACAAGUGAGAAUCUUGUCCGCCGAAAAUCUAAGGGAUCCUGGGGAAGGCUCGUCCGCCCAGGGUAAGUCGGGACCUAAGCCGAGGCCGAAAGGCGUAGGUGAUGGACAACUGGUUGAGAUUCCAGUACCACCGAGAAGCGAUUGAGUAAUGGGGCGACACAGAAGGAUAGGUUAAGCGUGCCGUUGGUCGAGCACGCCCAAGCGAGUAGGAGGUAGGGUAGGCAAAUCCGCCCUGCGUAACUCUGAGACGUGAUGGGGAGCGAAAUAAAGUAGCGAAGUAACCGACUCCAGGCUGUCAAGAAAAGCCUCUAGCGAGCGACUGGGUGCCCGUACCGCAAACCGACACAGGUAGAUGGGGUGAGAAACCUAAGGCGCGCGAGAAACCCCUCGUUAAGGAACUCGGCACAAUGGCCCCGUAACUUCGGGAGAAGGGGCGCUCACUGCAAGGUGAGCCGCAGAGAACUGGUCCAGGCGCCUGUGUCAGAAAAACACAGGUCCCUGCUAAUCCGAAAGGAGAUGUAUAGGGGCUGACACCUGCCCGGUGCUGGAAGGUUAAGAGGAGAGGUUAGGCGCAAGCCGAAGCUUUGAAUUGAAGCCCCAGUAAACGGCGGCCGUAACUAUAAC